Molecule: non-coding RNA, 10477 nt
Organism: Xyrichtys novacula (pearly razorfish)
Lineage: Eukaryota; Metazoa; Chordata; Actinopteri; Labriformes; Labridae
Source: the annotation of a GenBank genome assembly
UUCGGGCUUCCUGAAGGUAAUACUCGGGUAUUAGGUUAUGGGGCUAGGGUAAGUUUUAAGGUUUUUGGCGUAAGGGGUUAAAAUCACUGUCCAAAACCUUUGUAGGAACUCUUUUCCAACCUUUUGGAGUUAGAUAGACCAAAAAAAAUGUAAAAUGGUAAAAAAAAUAUUUGGGGUUUUCGGGCUUCCUGAAGGUAAUACCCGGCUAUCAGGGUUAUGGGGCUAUGGUAAGGUUUAAGGUUUUUGGCAUUAGGGUUAAAAUCACUGUCCAAAACCUUUGAAGAAACUCUUUUCCAACCGUUUGGAGUUGGUUACAACAACAAAAAAUGUAAAAUGAAAAAAAAAUAUUUGGGGUGUUAGGGCUUCCUGAAGGUAAUACCCGGGUAUUAGGUUAUGGGGCUAGGGUAAGGUUUAAGGUUUUUGGCAUUAGGGUUAAAAUCACUGUCCAAAACCUUUGUAGGAACUCUUUUUCAACCUUUUGGAGUUAGUUAGACCAAAUAAAGACGAAAAAUGGAUAAAAAAAAUUUGGGGGUGGUAGGGCUUCUAUAAGGUAAUACUCGGGUAUUAGGUAACGGGGCUAGGGUAAGGUUUGAGGUUUUUAGCGUUAGGGUUUAAAUCACUGUCCAAAACCUUUUUAGGAACAUGCUUCAGACCUUUUGGAAUUAGUCAGACAAAAAAAACCCGAAAAAAAAAAUUAUAUUUGUAAUGGUAGGGCUUCCUUUAGGUAAUACCCGGGUAUUAGGUUACAGGGCUAGUUAAAGGUUAAAGGUUUUUGACGUGAGGGUUAAAAUCACUGUCCAAAACCUUUUUAGGAACUGUUUUCCCUCCCUUUUGGAGUUAGUUAGACCAAAAAAAAAAAACGAAAAAUGAAAAAAAAAAUGUUUGGGGAGUUAAGGCUUCCUUAUGGUAAUACCCGGGUAUUAGGUUAUGGGGCUAGGGUAAGGUUUGAGGUUUUUAGCGUUAGGGCUUAAAUCACUGUCCAAAACCUUUUUAGGAACAUGUUUCAGACCUUUUUGAAUUGGUCAGAAAAAGAAAAAACCUGAAAAAAUAUAUAUAUAUAUAUUUGGGAUGGUAGGGCUUCCUUUACGUAAUACCCGGGUAUUAGGUUACAGGGCUAGUUAAAGGUUAAAGGUUUUUGGCGUGAGGGUUAAAUUCACUGUCCAAAACCUUUUUAGGAACUCUUUUCCAACCUUUUGGAGUGAGUUAGACCAAAAAAAAAAAACGAAAAAUGAAAAAAAAAAUGUUUGGGGUGUUAAGGCUUCCUUAUGGUAAUACCUGGGUAUUAGGUUAUCGGGCUAGGGUAAGGUUUAAGUUUUUUGGGGUUAGGGUUAAAAUCACUGUCCAAAACCUUUGAAGGAACUCUUUUCCAACCUUUUGGAGUUAGUUAGACCAAAAAAUAAGCAAAAAAUGGUUUUUGGGGUUAGGGUUAAAAUCACUGUCCAAAACCUUUGAAGGAACUCUUUUCCAACCUUUUGGAGUUAGUUAGACCAAAAAAAAAAAAACGAAAAAUGAAACAAAAAUAUUUGGGGUGUUCGGGCUUCCUUAAGGUAAUACCCGGGUAUUAGGUCACGGGGCUAGGGUAAGGUUUAAGGUUUUUGGCGUUAGGGUUAAAAUCACUGCCCAAUAUUUUUUUAGGAACAUGUUUCAGACCUUUUGUAGUUAGUUGGACCAAAAAAAAAAACGAAAAAUGAAAAAAAAAAUUUGGGGGUGGUAGGGCUUCCUUUAGGUAAUACCUGGGUAAUAGGUUACAGGGCUAGUUAAAGGUUUAAGGAUUUUCGCGUUAGGGUUAAAAUCACUGUCCAAAACCUUUUUAGGAACCCUUUUCCAACCUUUUGGAGUUAGUUGGACCAAAAAAAAAUGAAAAAUAAAAUUUCUUUGGGUGUUAGGGCUUCCUUAAGGUAAUACCCGGGGCUGGGUUACGGGGCUAGGGUAAGGCUUAUGGUUUUUGGGGUUAGGGUUAAAAUCACUGUCCAAAACCUUUGAAGGAACUCUUUUCCAAACGUUUGGAGUUAGACCAAAAAAAAACGAAAAAUGAAAAAAAAAAUGUUUUUGGUGUUAAGGCUUCCUUAAGGUAAUACCCAGGUAUUAGGUUACGGGACUAGGUAAGGUUUAAGGUAUUUGGCAUGAGGGUUAAAAUCACUGUCCAAAACCUUUGAAGGAACUCUUUUCCAAUCUUUUGGAGUUAGUUAGACCAAAAAAAAAAAACGAAAAAUGAAAAAAAAAAUGUUUUCGGUGUUAAGGCUUCCUUAAGGUAAUACCCGGGUAUUAGGUCACGGGGCUAGGGUAAGGUUUAAGGUAUUUGGCAUGAGGGUUAAAAUCACUGUCCAAAACCUUUGAAGGAACUCUUUUCCAAACGUUUGGAGUUAGACCAAAAAAAAACGAAAAAUGAAAAAAAUUUUUGGGGGUGGUAGGGCUUCCUUUAGGUAAUACCUGGGUAAUAGGUUACAGGGCUAGGGUAAGGUUAAAGGUUUUUGGCGUUAGGGUUAAAAUCACUGUCCAAAACCUUUGAAGGAACUCUUUUCCAACCUUUUGGAGUUAGUUAGACCAAAAAAAAAGAAAAAUGAAAAAAAAAAAUUUGCGGCUGUUAAGGCUUCCUUUAGGUAAUACCCGGAUAUUAGGUUAUGGGGCUAGGGUAAGGUUUAAGGUUUUUGGCGUUAGGGUUAAAAUCACUGUCCAAUAUUUUUUUAGGAACAUGUUUCAGACCUUUUGGAGUUAGUUAGACCAAAAAAAAACGAAAAAUGAAAAAAAAAAAUUUGGGGGUGGUAGGGCUUCCUUUAGGUAAUACCCGGGUAUUAGGUUUCAGGGCUAGUUAAAGGUUAAAGGUUUUUGGCGUGAUGGUUAAAAUCACUGUCCAAAACCUUUUUAGGAACUCUUUUCCAACCUUUUGUAGUUAGUUAGACCAAAAAAAAUGGAAAAAUGGAAAAAAAAAUGUUUGGGAUGGUAAGGCGUCCUUAAAAUAAUACCCGUGUAUUAGGUUCCGGGGCUAGUUAAAGGUUUAAGGAUUUUCGCGUAUGGGUUAAAAUCACUGUCCAAAACCUUUUUAGGAACCCUUUUCCAACCUUUUGGAGUUAGUUGGACCAAAAAAAAAUGAAAAAUGAAAAAUAAAAUUUUUUUGGGUGUUAGGGCUUCCUUAAGGUAAUACCCGGGGCUAGGUUACGGGGCUAGGGUAAGGCUUAUGGUUUUUGGGGUUAGGGUUAAAAUCACUGUCCAAAACCUUUGAAGGAACUCUUUUCCAAACGUUUGGAGUUAGACCAAAAAAAAACGAAAAAUGAAAAAAAACAUGUUUUUGGUGUUAAGGCUUCCUUAAGGUAAUACCCAGGUAUUAGGUUACGGGACUAGGUAAGGUUUAAGGUAUUUGGCAUGAGGGUUAAAAUCACUGUCCAAAACCUUUGAAGGAACUCUUUUCCAAUCUUUUGGAGUUAGUUAGACCAAAAAAAAAAACCAAAAAUGAAAAAAAAAAUGUUUUCGGUGUUAAGGCUUCCUUAAGGUAAUACCCCGGUAUUAGGUCACGGGGCUAGGGUAAGGUUUAAGGUUUUUGGCGUUAGGGUUAAAAUCACUGUCCAAUAUUUUUUUAGGAACAUGUUUCAGACCUUUUGUAGUUAGUUAGACCAAAAAAAAAAACGAAAAAUGAAAAAAAUUUUUGGGGGUGGUAGGGCUUCCUUUAGGUUAUACCUGGGUAAUAGGUUACAGGGCUAGGGUAAGGUUAAAGGUUUUUGGCGUUAGGGUUAAAAUCACUGUCCAAAACCUUUUUAGGAACUCUUUCCAACAUUUUGGAGUCAGUGAGACCAAAAAAAAACGAAAAGUGAAAACAAUUUUUUUUGGGGUGUUAAGGCUUCCUUAAGGUAAUUCCAGGGUAUUAGAUCACGGGGCUAGGGAAAGGUUAAAGGUUUUUGGCGUUAGGGUUAAAAUCACUGUCCAAAACCUUUGAAGGAACUCUUUUCCAACCUUUUGGAGUUAGUUAGACCAAAAAAAAACGAAAAAUGAAAACAAUUUUUUUUGGUGUGUUAAGGCUUCCUUAAGGUAAUUCCAGGGUAUUAGAUUACGGGGCUAGGGAAAGGUUAAAGGUUUUUGGCGUUAGGGUUAAAAUCACUGUCCAAAACCUUUUUAGGAACUCUUUUCCAACAUUUUGGAGUUAGACCAAAAAAAAACGAAAAAUGAAAACAAUUUUUUUUGGGGUGUUAAGGCUUCCUUAAGGUAAUUCCAGGGUAUUAGAUUACGGGGCUAGGGAAAGGUUAAAGGUUUUUGGCGUUAGGGUUAAAAUCACUGUCCAAAACCUUUGAAGGAACUCUUUUCCAACAUUUUGGAGUCAGGCCAAAAAAAAACGAAAAAUGAAAACAAUUUUUUUUGGGGGUGUUAAGGCUUCCUUAAGGUAAUUCCAGGGUAUUAGAUUACGGGGCUAGGGAAAGGUUAAAGGUUUUUGGCGUUAGGGUUAAAAUCACUGUCCAAAAUCUUUGAAGGAACUCUUUUCCAACCUUUUGGAGUUAGUAAGACCAAAAAAAAAUGAAAAAUGAAAAAAAAAAAUUUGCGGCUGUUAAGGCUUCCUUAAGGUAAUACCCGGAUAUUAGGUUAUGGGGCUAGGGUAAGGUUUAAGGUUUUUGGCGUUAGGGUUAAAAUCACUGUCCAAUAUUUUUUUAGGAACAUGUUUCAGACCUUUUGGAGUUAGUUAGACCAAAAAAAAACGAAAAAUGAAAAAAAAAAAUUUGGGGUGGUAGGGCUUCCUUUAGGUAAUACCCGGGUAUUAGGUUUCAGGGCUAGUUAAAGGUUAAAGGUUUUUGGCGUGAGGGUUAAAAUCACUGUCCAAAACCUUUUUAGGAACUCUUUUCCAACAUUUUGGAGUUAGUUAGACCAAAAAAAAUGGAAAAAUGGAAAAAAAAAUGUUUGGGAUGGUAAGGCGUCCUUAAGGUAAUACCCGUGUAUUAGGUUCCAGGGCUAGUUAAAGGUUUAAGGAUUUUCGCGUUAGGGUUAAAAUCACUGUCCAAAACCUUUUGAGGAACCCUUUUCCAACCUUUUGGAGUUAGUUGGACCAAAAAAAAAUGAAAAAUGAAAAAAAAAAUUUUUUGGGGUGUUAGGGCUUCCUUAAGGUAAUACCCGGGGCUAGGUUACGGGGCUAGGGUAAGGCUUAUGGUUUUUGGGGUUAGGGUUAAAAUCACUGUCCAAAACCUUUGAAGGAACUCUUUUCCAAACGUUUGGAGUUAGACCAAAAAAAAACGAAAAAAUGAAAAAAAAAAAUGUUUUUGGUUUUAAGGCUUCCUUAAGGUAAUACCCAGGUAUUAGGUUACGGGACUAGGUAAGGUUUAAGGUAUUUGGCAUGAGGGUUAAAAUCACUGUCCAAAACCUUUGAAGGAACUCUUUUCCAAUCUUUUGGAGUUAGUUAGACCAAAAAAAAAAAACGAAAAAUGAAAAAAAAAAUGUUUUCGGUGUUAAGGCUUCCUUAAGGUAAUACCCGGGUAUUAGGUCACGGGGCUAGGGUAAGGUUUAAGGUAUUUGGCAUGAGGGUUAAAAUCACUGUCCAAAACCUUUGAAGGAACUCUUUUCCAAACGUUUGGAGUUAGACCAAAAAAAAACGAAAAAUGAAAAAAAAUUUUGGGGGUGGUAGGGCUUCCUUUAGGUAAUACCUGGGUAAUAGGUUACAGGGCUAGGGUAAGGUUAAAGGUUUUUGGCGUUAGGGUUAAAAUCACUGUCCAAAACCUUUGAAGGAACUCUUUUCCAACCUUUUGGAGUUAGUUAGACCAAAAAAAAAGAAAAAUGAAAAAAAAAAAUUUGCGGCUGUUAAGGCUUCCUUUAGGUAAUACCCGGAUAUUAGGUUAUGGGGCUAGGGUAAGGUUUAAGGUUUUUGGCGUUAGGGUUAAAAUCACUGUCCAAUAUUUUUUUAGGAACAUGUUUCAGACCUUUUGGAGUUAGUUAGACCAAAAAAAAACGAAAAAUGAAAAAAAAAAAUUUGGGGGUGGUAGGGCUUCCUUUAGGUAAUACCCGGGUAUUAGGUUUCAGGGCUAGUUAAAGGUUAAAGGUUUUUGGCGUGAUGGUUAAAAUCACUGUCCAAAACCUUUUUAGGAACUCUUUUCCAACCUUUUGUAGUUAGUUAGACCAAAAAAAAUGGAAAAAUGGAAAAAAAAAUGUUUGGGAUGGUAAGGCGUCCUUAAAAUAAUACCCGUGUAUUAGGUUCCGGGGCUAGUUAAAGGUUUAAGGAUUUUCGCGUAUGGGUUAAAAUCACUGUCCAAAACCUUUUUAGGAACCCUUUUCCAACCUUUUGGAGUUAGUUGGACCAAAAAAAAAUGAAAAAUGAAAAAUAAAAUUUUUUUGGGUGUUAGGGCUUCCUUAAGGUAAUACCCGGGGCUAGGUUACGGGGCUAGGGUAAGGCUUAUGGUUUUUGGGGUUAGGGUUAAAAUCACUGUCCAAAACCUUUGAAGGAACUCUUUUCCAAACGUUUGGAGUUAGACCAAAAAAAAACGAAAAAUGAAAAAAAACAUGUUUUUGGUGUUAAGGCUUCCUUAAGGUAAUACCCAGGUAUUAGGUUACGGGACUAGGUAAGGUUUAAGGUAUUUGGCAUGAGGGUUAAAAUCACUGUCCAAAACCUUUGAAGGAACUCUUUUCCAAUCUUUUGGAGUUAGUUAGACCAAAAAAAAAAACCAAAAAUGAAAAAAAAAAUGUUUUCGGUGUUAAGGCUUCCUUAAGGUAAUACCCCGGUAUUAGGUCACGGGGCUAGGGUAAGGUUUAAGGUUUUUGGCGUUAGGGUUAAAAUCACUGUCCAAUAUUUUUUUAGGAACAUGUUUCAGACCUUUUGUAGUUAGUUAGACCAAAAAAAAAACGAAAAAUGAAAAAAAUUUUUGGGGGUGGUAGGGCUUCCUUUAGGUUAUACCUGGGUAAUAGGUUACAGGGCUAGGGUAAGGUUAAAGGUUUUUGGCGUUAGGGUUAAAAUCACUGUCCAAAACCUUUUUAGGAACUCUUUCCAACAUUUUGGAGUCAGUUAGACCAAAAAAAAACGAAAAGUGAAAACAAUUUUUUUUGGGGUGUUAAGGCUUCCUUAAGGUAAUUCCAGGGUAUUAGAUCACGGGGCUAGGGAAAGGUUAAAGGUUUUUGGCGUUAGGGUUAAAAUCACUGUCCAAAACCUUUGAAGGAACUCUUUUCCAACCUUUUGGAGUUAGUUAGACCAAAAAAAAACGAAAAAUGAAAACAAUUUUUUUUGGUGUGUUAAGGCUUCCUUAAGGUAAUUCCAGGGUAUUAGAUUACGGGGCUAGGGAAAGGUUAAAGGUUUUUGGCGUUAGGGUUAAAAUCACUGUCCAAAACCUUUUUAGGAACUCUUUUCCAACAUUUUGGAGUUAGACCAAAAAAAAACGAAAAAUGAAAACAAUUUUUUUGGGGUGUUAAGGCUUCCUUAAGGUAAUUCCAGGGUAUUAGAUUACGGGGCUAGGGAAAGGUUAAAGGUUUUUGGCGUUAGGGUUAAAAUCACUGUCCAAAACCUUUGAAGGAACUCUUUUCCAACAUUUUGGAGUCAGGCCAAAAAAAAACGAAAAAUGAAAACAAUUUUUUUUGGGGGUGUUAAGGCUUCCUUAAGGUAAUUCCAGGGUAUUAGAUUACGGGGCUAGGGAAAGGUUAAAGGUUUUUGGCGUUAGGGUUAAAAUCACUGUCCAAAAUCUUUGAAGGAACUCUUUUCCAACCUUUUGGAGUUAGUAAGACCAAAAAAAAAUGAAAAAUGAAAAAAAAAAAUUUGCGGCUGUUAAGGCUUCCUUAAGGUAAUACCCGGAUAUUAGGUUAUGGGGCUAGGGUAAGGUUUAAGGUUUUUGGCGUUAGGGUUAAAAUCACUGUCCAAUAUUUUUUUAGGAACAUGUUUCAGACCUUUUGGAGUUAGUUAGACCAAAAAAAAACGAAAAAUGAAAAAAAAAAAUUUGGGGUGGUAGGGCUUCCUUUAGGUAAUACCCGGGUAUUAGGUUUCAGGGCUAGUUAAAGGUUAAAGGUUUUUGGCGUGAGGGUUAAAAUCACUGUCCAAAACCUUUUUAGGAACUCUUUUCCAACAUUUUGGAGUUAGUUAGACCAAAAAAAAUGGAAAAAUGGAAAAAAAAAUGUUUGGGAUGGUAAGGCGUCCUUAAGGUAAUACCCGUGUAUUAGGUUCCAGGGCUAGUUAAAGGUUUAAGGAUUUUCGCGUUAGGGUUAAAAUCACUGUCCAAAACCUUUUGAGGAACCCUUUUCCAACCUUUUGGAGUUAGUUGGACCAAAAAAAAAUGAAAAAUGAAAAAAAAAAUUUUUUGGGGUGUUAGGGCUUCCUUAAGGUAAUACCCGGGGCUAGGUUACGGGGCUAGGGUAAGGCUUAUGGUUUUUGGGGUUAGGGUUAAAAUCACUGUCCAAAACCUUUGAAGGAACUCUUUUCCAAACGUUUGGAGUUAGACCAAAAAAAAACUAAAAAUGAAAAAAAAAAAUGUUUUUGGUUUUAAGGCUUCCUUAAGGUAAUACCCAGGUAUUAGGUUACGGGACUAGGUAAGGUUUAAGGUAUUUGGCAUGAGGGUUAAAAUCACUGUCCAAAACCUUUCUUAGGAACUCUUUUCCAACCUUUUGGAGUUAGUUAGACCAAAAAAUAACGAGAAAUGAAAAAAAAAAAUUUUGGGGGGUAGUUAAAGCUUCCUUAAGGUAAUACCCGGGUAUUAGGUUACGGGGCUAGGGUAAGGUUUAAUGUUUUUAGCGUUAGGGUUAAAAUCACUGUCCAAUAACUUUUAGGAACAUGUUUCAGACCUUUUGGAGUUAGUUAGACCAAAAAAGAACUAAAAAUGAAAAAAAAUUUUUUGGGGUGGUAGGGUUCCCUUUAGGUAAUACCCGGGUAUUAGGUUACAGGGCUAGUUAAAGGUUAAAGGUUUUUGGCGUUAGGGUUAAAAUCACUGUCCAAAACCUUUUUAGGAACAUGUUUUAGACCCUUUGGAGUUAGUCAGACCAAAAAAAAACGAAAAAUGAAAAAAAAAAAUGUUUGGGGAGUUAAGGCUUCCUUGACGUAAUACCACGGGUAUUUGGUUACGGGGCUAGGGUAACGUUUAAGGUUUUUGGCGUUAGGGUUAAAAUCACUGUCCAAUAUUUUUUUAGGAACAUGUUUCAGACCUUUUGGAGUUAGACCAAAAAAUACUGAAAAAUGUUUAAAAUUUUUUUGGGGUGGUAGGGCUUCCUUUAGGUAAUAACCGGGUAUUAGGUUACAGGGCUAGGUAAAGGUUAAAGGUUUUUGGCGUUAGGGUUAAAAUCACUGUCCAAAACCUUUUUAGGAACAUGUUUUAGACCCUUUGGAGUUAGCCAGACCAAAAAAGAAACGAAAAAUGAAAAAAAAAAAUGUUUGGGGUUUUUAGGCUUCCUUAAGGUAAUACCCAGGUAUUUGGUAAUGGGGCUAGGGUAACGUUUAAGGUUUUUGGAGUUAGGGUUAAAAUCACUGUCCAAUAUUUUUUUAGGAACAUGUUUCAGACCUUUUGGAGUUAGACCAAAAAAUACUGAAAAAUGUAAAAAAAGAAAUGUUUGGGUUGUUACGGCUUCCUUUAGGUAAUACCCGGGUAUUAGGUUACAGGGCUAGUUAAAGGUUAAAGGUUUUUGGCGUUAGGGUUAAAAUCACUGUCCAAAACCUUUUUAGGAACAUGUUUUAGACCCUUUGGAGUUAGUCAGACCAAAAAAAAAACGAAAAAUGAAAAAAAAAAAUGUUUGGGGUGUUAAGGCUUCCUUGACGUAAUACCACGGGUAUUUGGUUACGGGGCUAGGGUAACGUUUAAGGUUUUUGGCGUUAGGGUUAAAAUCACUGUCCAAUAUCUUUUUAGGAACAUGUUUCAGACCUUUUGGAGUUAGACCAAAAAAUACUGAAAAAUGUUAAAAAAAAUUUUGGGGUGGUAGGGCUUCCUUUAGGUAAUAACCGGGUAUUAGGUUACAGGGCUAGGUAAAGGUUAAAGGUUUUUGGCGUUAGGGUUAAAAUCACUGUCCAAAACCUUUUUAGGAACAUGUUUUAGACCCUUUGGAGUUAGUCAGACCAAAAAAAAAACGAAAAAUGAAAAAAAAAAAAUGUUUGGGGUUUUAAGGCUUCCUUAAGGUAAUACCCAGGUAUUUGGUAAUGGGGCUAGGGUAACGUUUAAGGUUUUUGGAGUUAGGGUUAAUAUCACUGUCCAAUAUUUUUUUAGGAACAUGUUUCAGACCUUUUGGAGUAAGUUAGACCAAAAAAUACUGAAAAAUGUAAAAAAAGAAAUGUUUGGGUUGUUACGGCUUCCUUUAGGUAAUACCCGGGUAUUAGGUUACGGGGCUAGGGUAACGUUUAAGGUUUUUGGCGUUAGGGUUAAAAUCACUGUCCAAAACCUUUUUAGGAACAUGUUUCAGACCUUUUGGAGUUAGUUUGACAAAAAAAAAACUGAAAAAUGACAAAAAAAUGUUUGGGGUGUUAGGGCUUCCUUUAGGUAAUAUUGCGUUACGGGGGUAGGGUAAGGGUUAAGGUUUUUGGCGUUAGGGUUAAAAUCACUGUCCAAAACCUUUUUAG